Molecule: long non-coding RNA, 1009 nt
Filed under: Equus asinus (donkey)
Lineage: Eukaryota; Metazoa; Chordata; Mammalia; Perissodactyla; Equidae
Description: lncRNA (ENSEASG00005024006.1)
Source: RNAcentral
AGUGAACCUCUGAGAGCUGAGUUGCUCCGGGCCACCUGCCGAAUCUUCAUAUGGCACCCCUUCAACCUUGGGCGAUGGUGAAAUCACCGACUCUCAGGUCUCCUGCAUGGCCAAGGGGCUGCUCUCUGCCUCAUCCUCUGCCCACCCCAUGGGCAUUUUUCUGCUUCCUGUUGGGAAUGCCCGCCCACUUCUUUCCAGCACUCUCUGGCUGCUCCCUCCACAGUGCCGACAGCCUGACUAGAGGCCUGAAGACCAGCAAUGACUACUUAGCCCUUCUCACCCUUUCAUCUUAAACUACCCUCUUGACUUGCCCAAUCCCAGUCCUACCCAGGGGGCCAUAGUAGCUCUUGCUGGAAUAAGUCCAAUGCAGCUGGAAGAACGAGAAAAUAGAGCCUGCUAGACUUGUCGCUUGCUGACCCCAUGGCCACCAUGCUCUAUCACCAUGGAGAGGACACAUAGCCCACAGGUCCUGCCUGCGGAGGGGUGACUGGCAAUCACAUGGUCAGUGAGUCACAUGGGAACUGAAAGUGCCCCGUGGUGGAGUGACUUCUCCAAAGGUGAUGCAUGAAUCAGUUGUGGGGAAGCUCGGGGGCAGGGUCAGACCCUGAGUCGCAGUCAGCGAUCUUAAGAACAAGCCCCCACACCAAGCCCUUCUCCACCACAGCCCAGUAGAAUCGAAGCAUCGUGGGUCAGCAGUGGUUUCAGGUGUGGUGGGGGUGGAGGCCCAGAACACGUGUGAGGCUGUGUGUGCCGGGGUCUGCCUAGGCGAGGAGUCCCUGUUGCUGGCUUGAUACUCCUUGUCUUGGGGGCCCCAGGAAAGUGGGAGCAGGAGGUCUCAGCCACCCUCCCUAGCCCUGGAUUCCUGGUCGAGGAGCCAUGUGGGUCUAGGCCCUGAGCAUGGUCAGGGUUGCUUGGGCAGUCACUGCACGAAGGCUGCAACCUCAUCUUUCCCUCUUCUGGGAUCAAAUUAGAGAACCGCUGAGUCGUGGGGUUGUAAGUGAACGCAUGC